UAAUGMAKGCCCGCUCCCGGUAAAACGGGACGGCCCGCCAGAGGACCCCUAAACUCUGUUUCUAUAUGUAACUUCUGAGUAAAACCAUAAAUAAAUCAAAACUUUCAACAACGGAUCUCUUGGUUCUGGCAUCGAUGAAGAACGCAGCAAAAUGCGAUAAGUAAUGUGAAUUGCAGAAUUCAGUGAAUCAUCGAAUCUUUGAACGCACAUUGCGCCCGCCAGUAUUCUGGCGGGCAUGCCUGUUCGAGCGUCAUUUCAACCCUCAAGCACAGCUUGGUGUUGGGACUCGCGUUAAUUCGCGUUCCUCAAAUUGAUUGGCGGUCACGUCGAGCUUCCAUAGCGUAGUAGUAAAACCCUCGUUACUGGUAAUCGUCGCGGCCACGCCGUUAAACCCCAACUUCUGAAUGUUGACCUCGGAUCAGGUAGGAAUACCCGCUGAACUUAAGCAUAUCAAUAAGCGGAGGAAA
Molecule: ribosomal RNA, 467 nt
Filed under: Fusarium oxysporum
Lineage: Eukaryota; Fungi; Ascomycota; Sordariomycetes; Hypocreales; Nectriaceae
Description: eukaryotic LSU rRNA
Rfam family: 5.8S ribosomal RNA (bases 100-253)
Source: RNAcentral